GUUGAUGAUGGAGAGUGUACUAAUGGUAGUGAGAUGAUGAUGAGGAAGGUGCCAACACUUGGAGAACUAAUCAUGAUGAGUAGAAGAAGAAGCUGCAGAAGGAAAGCACUUCACAUGAACUGGGAUCAUAAUCCACCUAAGGAAAUGAGAAGAAAGGAAGAUUUUGGAUGCUUCAACUUUGUACGUGGCAACAUAGUUGAGGGACUAUUUAAGAUAAGCUACUUGCCGAGAAUGAAACUAGUCAAGGCAAGCUAGGGGACGAUGAUAAUAGAGCCAAAGCUCACAAUAUAAUUUCUAUUUUAAUACUUAAAUACACGUUUUGGGUUUCAGUUUGU
Molecule: non-coding RNA, 335 nt
Organism: Arachis ipaensis
Lineage: Eukaryota; Viridiplantae; Streptophyta; Magnoliopsida; Fabales; Fabaceae
Source: RefSeq, a predicted model, not a curated record